This 65-nucleotide transfer RNA is filed under the name Dipodomys ordii (Ord's kangaroo rat). It matches the Rfam family "tRNA". Rfam says of the family: Transfer RNA (tRNA) molecules are approximately 80 nucleotides in length. Their secondary structure includes four short double-helical elements and three loops (D, anti-codon, and T loops). Further hydrogen bonds mediate the characteristic L-shaped molecular structure. tRNAs have two regions of fundamental functional importance: the anti-codon, which is responsible for specific mRNA codon recognition, and the 3' end, to which the tRNAs corresponding amino acid is attached (by aminoacyl-tRNA synthetases). tRNAs cope with the degeneracy of the genetic code in two manners: having more than one tRNA (with a specific anti-codon) for a particular amino acid; and 'wobble' base-pairing, i.e. permitting non-standard base-pairing at the 3rd anti-codon position. The record is from Rfam by way of RNAcentral. Lineage: Eukaryota; Metazoa; Chordata; Mammalia; Rodentia; Heteromyidae.
GGUGGCUCAGUGGCAGAGCGCUUGCCUUGUAUGCCUGAGGCCCUGGGUUCAAUUCCUCAGCACCA